GCCCUAAUAGUAUAACUAUUACCUUGGUCUUGUAAACCAAAAAUG
This 45-nucleotide transfer RNA is filed under the name Callosciurus caniceps bimaculatus. RNAcentral's name for it is "partial tRNA-Thr". Lineage: Eukaryota; Metazoa; Chordata; Mammalia; Rodentia; Sciuridae. The record is from RNAcentral.